CUCCCACCCACUCUCAAUACCACCAUGAAGCCCACCCUGCUCAGCCCCUUCCUGAUGUUCCUAAUCUUCUCCCUGCUGCUACCUCCACUGAUGGGGAGCUUCCUUUUUAAAGGACGCCCAAGUCCUACAAAGACAUCCCACAAAAGUCCUUCACCUCCUCCCCUGGAUUCGAGUGAACCACUUCCUAGUACUGACAACACCACAGGGGCUCCUGCAAAUACAGGGAUCACU
Long non-coding RNA from Vombatus ursinus (common wombat), 231 nucleotides. RefSeq lists it as uncharacterized. The transcript has 3 exons. The record is from RefSeq and is a predicted model, not a curated record. NCBI's taxonomy places the organism in Eukaryota, Metazoa, Chordata, Mammalia, Diprotodontia, Vombatidae.